Molecule: long non-coding RNA, 1149 nt
Organism: Heterocephalus glaber (naked mole-rat)
Lineage: Eukaryota; Metazoa; Chordata; Mammalia; Rodentia; Bathyergidae
Source: RefSeq, a predicted model, not a curated record
AAAGGCGGGGGGGGGAGGAGGAAAAAAAAAAAAAAGAAAGAAAGAAAGCGCAAACGGCGGUUACUGACAGGCUGGGCUAGCGCUCGGGGACUCAAGCUGCCCAGAGACAGGCGGGGCUCCCGCCGAGGCUCGGUUCUGCUGGACAAGUGAAGCAGGGGAAGACAGACUGGCGAGACACACCUCUGCCCGGAGACUGGCCGCGGGGGAGGGGAGCGGAGGUGGAGGGGCACUUGCUGUCACUUGGUGGGGGCGCACGCUCGCCUGAUCCCUAGAGGGUCUCCAGUCAGAGUCCCUCCUCACAGACUUCUUCACCAUGCAAGGGCUGCCCUCUCCAUCCCGCGACAAGUUGUCAAAUAAAGCAAAGGUCGCCAAACCCUCUUUGAGGACUAUUCCCGCUCAGGGAAAGGAUGUGCUAAGGGGCCGUGCCACCGUCCCGGCCUUUACCUGAGCCGCUCUCUGCUUCUCUCCAGAGCAGAAUGAACCCAGCAUCUAGUAAGAGAGACUUAAGUGAACAAACAAGUUUCACUGACGACUGUUCUUUCCGACUGACCAACUCUAUCUGAGGCAGUAAGAUCAAGCAGCCAUGAGGUAAACCAGCCUCCCAUACCAUGUGCUCCUGCUAUGAUGUACUAAGCCACCACAGGCCCAACACUACAGGAUUAAGCCACCCUGGAUUGAAAUUUCUAAAAUCAUGAGCUAAAAUAAACUUUUCCACUUUUAAGGUUAUUAUCUUGGGUAUUUUUUCACAGUAAUGGAAAACUACACAACUCCCUCUGUUUUAUACCACCUGCUGAAUCCAUCACCAAGUCCUAUCACCCUGCCUCUCAAAUCCAUCAGCUUUAAAUUUUUUUUUAUUUUGUCUUUGCAGUGCUAGAGAUUGAACCCAGGGCCUCAUGCAUUCUAGGCAAGCGUUCUACCACUAAGCUAAAUCCCCAGCCUCUCCAUCCACUUCUUUUUAUCCUGGUGCCACCACUGUAGUUCCUGCCACUAUCCUCCUCUCUUGUGGCACUGCCACAGCCUCCUCUUCACAGGUCUCCUUACCUGCAAAGGCCCCACAGGGAGCCUGUCUCCUGCUUCUGUGGAAAAGCCUUCAAAGGCUCUCAAGAUGACAAGUAGCCUCCAUAACUUCAAGGCCCCAUGUUGCCCACA